GAUGAACGCUGGCGGCGUGCCUAAUACAUGCAAGUCGAGCGAACUGACUAUGAGCUUGCUCUGCUACCGUUAGCGACGGACAGUGGAGUAAGAGUUGGAUAACCUUCCGUUAACACUGGGAUAACGUCGGGUAACCGUUGCUAAUACCGGCUAAUAUAUCAUACCUCAUGUUUCAAUAGUGAAGGAGGGUUUUGCUGGCUCUUAUAGAUGUAUCCGCGCCGCAUUAGCUAGUUGGUAAGGUAACGGCUUACCAAGGCAACGAUGCGUAGCCGACCUGAGAGGGUGAUCGGCAACACUGGAACUGAGACACGGUCCAGCCUCCUACGGGAGGAAGCAGUAGGGAAUCUUGGGCAAUGGGCGAAAGCCUGACGGAGCAACGCCGCGUGAGUGAUGAAGGUCUUCGGAUCGUAAAACCCUGUUAUUGGGAAAGAAAAGAAGUAGAAGUAAAUAUGCAUGUCUUGACGGUACCUAAUCAGAAAGCCACGGCUAACUACGUG
RNAcentral lists this ribosomal RNA (497 nucleotides) under uncultured bacterium. RNAcentral describes it as "partial 16S ribosomal RNA". It matches the Rfam family "Bacterial small subunit ribosomal RNA", at positions 28 to 507 of the family's 1533-position model. The record is from RNAcentral.